This 439-nucleotide ribosomal RNA is filed under the name uncultured bacterium. Its description in RNAcentral is "partial 16S ribosomal RNA". It matches the Rfam family "Bacterial small subunit ribosomal RNA", at positions 339 to 795 of the family's 1533-position model. The record is from RNAcentral.
CUACGGGGUGCAGCAGUGAGGAAUAUUGCACAAUGGGGGAAACCCUGAUGCAGCAACGCCGCGUGGAGGAUGACGCAUUUCGGUGUGUAAACUCCUUUUAUAUGUCAAGAAAAUGACGGUAGCAUAUGAAUAAGCACCGGCUAACUCCGUGCCAGCAGCCGCGGUAAUACGGAGGGUGCAAGCGUUACUCGGAAUCACUGGGCGUAAAGGACGCGUAGGCUGGUUGGUAAGUCAGGUGUGAAAUCCUACAGCUUAACUGUAGAAUUGCACUUGAAACUACCAACCUAGAGUAUGGGAGGGGGAGAUGGAAUUAGUGGUGUAGGGGUAAAAUCCGUAGAUAUCACUAGGAAUACCGAAAGCGAAGGCGAUCUCCUGGAACAUAACUGACGCUAAGGCGUGAAAGCGUGGGGAGCAAACAGGAUUAGAUACCCCGGUAGUC